Molecule: ribosomal RNA, 191 nt
Filed under: uncultured bacterium
Lineage: Bacteria
Description: partial 16S ribosomal RNA
Rfam family: Bacterial small subunit ribosomal RNA
Source: RNAcentral
AACUCGCCUGUAUGAAGUCGGAAUUGCUAGUAAUCGCGGAUCAGCAUGCCGCGGUGAAUACGUUCCCGGGCCUUGUACACACCGCCCGUCACACCAUGAGAGUUGGGGAUACCCGAAGCCUGUGAGCUAACUUUUAGAGGCAGCAGUCGAAGGUAGAAUCAAUGAUUGGGGUGAAGUCGUAACAAGGUACC